RNAcentral lists this non-coding RNA (23 nucleotides) under Drosophila melanogaster (fruit fly). The record is from RNAcentral. Lineage: Eukaryota; Metazoa; Arthropoda; Insecta; Diptera; Drosophilidae.
CAUGGACAAAGGAUCCCGUCGGA